This 141-nucleotide microRNA precursor is filed under the name Vicugna pacos (alpaca). RNAcentral describes it as "miRNA (ENSVPAG00000016573.1)". The stretch from base 42 to 93 matches the Rfam family "mir-1302 microRNA precursor family". Lineage: Eukaryota; Metazoa; Chordata; Mammalia; Artiodactyla; Camelidae. The record is from RNAcentral.
AUGGGAUGCCCAGUCAAAUUUCAUUUUCAGAUAAUGAAUAAUUUUUAGUAUAAGUAUGUCCCAUGCAAUAUUUGGGAUAUACUUAUCCUAAAAAUUAUUUGUUAUUUAUUUAGAAUUCAGAUUUAACUGGGUAUUUUGUAU